RNAcentral lists this ribosomal RNA (497 nucleotides) under uncultured bacterium. RNAcentral's name for it is "partial 16S ribosomal RNA". It matches the Rfam family "Bacterial small subunit ribosomal RNA", at positions 28 to 507 of the family's 1533-position model. The record is from RNAcentral.
GAUGAACGCUGGCGGCGUGCCUAAUACAUGCAAGUAGAACGCUGAAGGAAGGAGCUUGCUCUUUCCGGAUGAGUUGCGAACGGGUGAGUAACGCGUAGGUAACCUGCCUGGUAGCGGGGGAUAACUAUUGGAAACGAUAGCUAAUACCGCAUAACAGUAGAUGUUGCAUGAUAUCUACUUAAAAGGUGCAAUUGCACCACUACCAGAUGGACCUGCGUUGUAUUAGCUAGUUGGUGAGGUAACGGCUCACCAAGGCGACGAUACAUAGCCGACCUGAGAGGGUGAUCGGCCACACUGGGACUGAGACACGGCCCAGACUCCUACGGGAGGCAGCAGUAGGGAAUCUUAGGCAAUGGACGGAAGUCUGACCGAGCAACGCCGCGUGAGUGAAGAAGGUUUUCGGAUCGUAAAGCUCUGUUGUAAGAGAAGAACGAGUGUGAGAGUGGAAAGUUCACACUGUGACGGUAUCUUACCAGAAAGGGACGGCUAACUACGUG